AUGGAUAUCUUCUGAAGGUUUCUUUUAGUCAUACAAGCAUCCCAUCUCUACGAGUAUCCACACGAGACUCUGAUUUGAUCAGAAGCCUUUUCAUCUCACUGGGGUGCUAGCUCUCUUACAAAGAUCACAUCUUGACAGUUGAAAAUCUUCUUUUCUCCUAAGACACUCUUAGAGAAUAAGAAGAUGUAGGAGGAUCUUGAUUUUUACACUAGAGAUCAUGAGAAGAAUCAUUUCUUCUCUUUUCUUCCUAAAAUCCAUGUACCAAAUCUCUACAAUAGAGAUGUAAAAAUUUUAUCUAACUUUUGGAUAAAGAAGAGAGGAGACAUCCAUAUCUAAACAUGGGCAAGAGGGAGGAGAUAAGAUGUUCUAACAACCAACAAUUGGUUGUUGUAAGAAAGAAGGGAUAUAUGGAUACAUAUCUUAUGCCUUACCCAUGCACAUUGCGCCCUCCUUUUUCUCCUCUAUUUUAAUGCACACCUCCUCAGAUUUUUGAUGUUGAAACCUGAUGUAAAUCCCAUAGUAACCAUCCCAUAUGCUGCCCUUUAAAUAGAUGAAGAGAGGAGAUUUAGUUUGGGUAGGAGAUAGAGUCCAAGAUGCCUAGAACUCUACUUAAUUUGGAUGCCACCCAUCACAUGGUUUCACGCCCAAUAUUUUACACCAUGAAGAGGAGUUUCUUACUCCUUCUUACAUGCUAAAAAGAGGGAGAAAGUGACGUCAAAAAUUAGUUGUGGCGUGGGUUUUUGUGGCGCACAAAUCUGGUUCAAUAUGGGAUUCCUUUUGGCGCAUGGAUUGGAGGAGUUUCAAUCNNNNNNNNNNNNNNNNNNNNAGGCCAUACCAUCUCAGAUCUAUUGAAGCAACUUUUGGUAUCCAUGGUCCAUCUGGACAGCAUCCAAAAUUCUAUUGGUGAAGUCUGCUUCAACACUAAAAAUGGUAGCAACAGUCUCCAUGAUGCCUUUUUGACUUAAGGCAUCAGUAACCUGGUUGUGCCUACUAGGUUUAUGCUCCCACUCAAAAUCAUACUCAGCCAAAAAUUCCUACCAAUAUGCUUAUCUAGAUGAAAGCUUUUUCUAUGUCAGGAAGAAAGUUCUAGCAACAUUAUCAAUCUUCACUACAAAUCUGGGACCUAGUCAGUAAACUCAUCAAGUCCAUAGAUAAUGCACCACCGCCAACGUCUCUUUUCAUGUGUAGAAUAUUUUUGUUUUGCCUUCUUCAGCUUCCAACUUUCAAAAGCAAUCGGAUGUCAUUUUUACACCAAUAUUGUUGGAUUUUUAUGGUUUCAUGCAUGUAUGAUUUUUCAAAAUAAGUAUGCAGUAAAAUUUUAAAAUUUUUAGAUUAAAUCUAAUUUAAUCUAAGCAUACAUAAGAUCAAAUCUUCAAACCAUAAACAUGAUCAUCAUAUAUGAGAUAAGAUUCAGAUAUAAAAAUUAAAUAUAAAAAAUAAAUAUAAAAUAUACCUGGAUAUGGAUCAAUCUUCAACGCGAUCUAAUGAUCAUGGAUAUCUUCUGAAGGUUUCUUUUAGUCGUACAAGCAUCCCAUCUCUACAGGUAUCCACACGAGACUCUGAUCUGAUCAGAAGCCUUUUCAUCGCACUAGGGUGCUAGCUCUCUUACAGAGAUCACAUCUUGACAGUUGAAAAUCUUCUUUUUUUCUAAGACACUCUUAGAGAAUAAGAAGAUGUAGGAGGAUUUUGAUUUUUACAAUAGAGAUCAUGAGAAGAAUCAUUUCUUCUCUUUUCUUCUUAAAAUCCAUGUACCAAAUCUCUACAAUAGAGAUAUAAAAAUUUUAUCCAACUUUUGGAUAAAGAAGAGAGGAGACAUCCAUAUCUAAACAUGGGCAAGAGGGAGGAGAUAAGAUGUUCUAACAACCAACAAUUGGUUGUUGUAAGAAAGAAGGGAUAUAUGGAUACAUAUCUCAUGCCUUACCCAUGCACGUUGCGCC
This 1937-nucleotide long non-coding RNA is filed under the name Elaeis guineensis (African oil palm). RNAcentral describes it as "long non-coding RNA (EGUI_LNC008527)". The record is from RNAcentral. Lineage: Eukaryota; Viridiplantae; Streptophyta; Magnoliopsida; Arecales; Arecaceae.